This 368-nucleotide unclassified non-coding RNA is filed under the name soil metagenome. Its description in RNAcentral is "partial contains 5.8S ribosomal RNA, internal transcribed spacer 2, and large subunit ribosomal RNA". The stretch from base 1 to 120 matches the Rfam family "5.8S ribosomal RNA", at positions 35 to 154 of the family's 154-position model. The record is from RNAcentral.
GAUGAAGAACGUAGCGAAAUGCGAUAAGUAAUGUGAAUUGCAGAAUUCAGUGAACCAUCGAAUCUUUGAACGCACAUCGCGCCCGGCAGUAAUCUGCCGGGCAUGCCUGUCCGAGCGUCAUUUCUGCCCUCGAGCGAGUCCAGCAUCUAGGUGCUGGGCCCGCCCGGCGUUGGGGCACUACGGGAAGCCCUGUGCUGUCCCCCGUAGGCCCCGAAAUGAAGUGGCGGUCCUGCCGCGGCGCCCCCUGCGUAGUAUAACAGCUCGCUUCGGGACCCGGUGGAGGCCUGCCGUCAAACCUUACUCUCUAAGUUUGACCUCGGAUCAGGUAGGGUUACCCGCUGAACUUAAGCAUAUCAAUAAGCGGAGGA